Molecule: small RNA, 583 nt
Filed under: Pongo abelii (Sumatran orangutan)
Lineage: Eukaryota; Metazoa; Chordata; Mammalia; Primates; Hominidae
Description: processed transcript
Source: RNAcentral
GAAUCAUGGGAUUGGUUUCCUCCAUGCUGUUCUUGUGAUAGUGAGUGAGUUCUCAUAAGAUCUGAUGGUUUUAUAAGGGACUUUUCCCCCUUUGCUGGGCACUUCUGUCUGCUGCCGCCAAGGAAAGAAGGACAUGUUUGCUUCCCUUCCACCAUGAUUUUGGUAUUGACAAAGCACCAAAAUGAUUUUAAAAUUGAGCUCAAAUAUCUGGAAGACGAUCUCCUUUUGCGCCUUUCUGCGGCAGAGGGAAGCUUUCUGGAUGACACCAAACUGGUAGAGAGACUGGAGGCAACAAAGGCCACCGCGGCAGAGAUAGAGCACAAGGUGAUUGAAGCCAAAGAAAAUGAAAGAAAAAUCAACGAGGCCCGAGAAUGUUACAGACCAGUGGCAGCAAGAGCAUCUCUUCUUUAUUUUGUUAUUAAUGACCUCCAAAAAAUCAACCCCCUCUACCAAUUCUCUUUGAAGGCUUUUAACGUGCUGUUCCACAGAGCGAUCGAGCAGGCUGACAAGGUGGAAGACAUGCAGGGACGCAUCUCUAUCCUGAUGGAGAGCAUCACCCACGCUGUCUUCCUCUACACCAGCC